AAAGCAAAUCAACUUUGUUGCUUCCCGCAAGGGAAGAGGAAAGUCCGGACACCGCGGGAUUAUCGCAGCGGGUAACGCCCGUCCGCCGUGAGGCGAGGACAAGUGCAACAGAAAGCAAGUACAAUUCGGUUGUAGUGAAAUCAGGUAAACUCUGCGAGGUGCAAUGCCAUGUAUAUCGGCUGGUAAGGGGAAUCCGCCCGAUGCCGAGGGGUAGGCAGUUAGAGGCAAGGAGCAAUUUUUGCCCAAGACAAAUAACAAGGCUUUUCAGCAAUGAAAAUGACAGAAUCCGGCUUAUUGAUUUGCUUUUUUU
This 310-nucleotide RNase P RNA is filed under the name Flavobacteriaceae bacterium. Its description in RNAcentral is "RNase P RNA component class A". It matches the Rfam family "Bacterial RNase P class A". From Rfam's summary of the family: Ribonuclease P (RNase P) is a ubiquitous endoribonuclease, found in archaea, bacteria and eukarya as well as chloroplasts and mitochondria. The record is from RNAcentral. Lineage: Bacteria; Pseudomonadati; Bacteroidota; Flavobacteriia; Flavobacteriales; Flavobacteriaceae.